UCCCUGGUGGACUAGUGGCUAGUAUGCGGUGCUCUCAUCGCCGCAGUCUGGGUUCGAUUCUCAGUCAGGGAG
Molecule: transfer RNA, 72 nt
Filed under: Pangasianodon gigas (Mekong giant catfish)
Lineage: Eukaryota; Metazoa; Chordata; Actinopteri; Siluriformes; Pangasiidae
Description: tRNA-Glu
Rfam family: tRNA
About the family: Transfer RNA (tRNA) molecules are approximately 80 nucleotides in length. Their secondary structure includes four short double-helical elements and three loops (D, anti-codon, and T loops).
Source: RNAcentral